Streptomyces cyaneogriseus subsp. noncyanogenus is the source of this 75-nucleotide non-coding RNA. It matches the Rfam family "ASpks TB sRNA". The record is from Rfam. Lineage: Bacteria; Bacillati; Actinomycetota; Actinomycetes; Kitasatosporales; Streptomycetaceae.
UUUCAGGGAGCCGAGCCAGAGCGGCCGGUCCCCGGCCCGGUCCCGGCCGUAGGUGGCCAGCAGGGCGUGCGCCUC